UUUCCCCAUUUUUCUCUCCCUCACCGCACACUUCUCUUCUUCUUCUUCUUUCUUUUGUUUCUUUUCUUUCUUUACCUCUUUCUCCUUUCUGUUCACGCACGCCACCUAACCCACUUCCCCUUUUCUUUUCUCUUCUUCCCUUCCCUUUCCCCCUUCAUCUCUCGCACACCAAUACAGAACCACCCGUGAGAGAGAUUUCCGUGAUGGUGUGUGUGUGUAGCGCGGCCAUGGGGGAAAACCAACGAAAAUCAACAAGGAUAGUGUCCGGAUUGGAGACUUUAAUGAGUUCUCCAAUGUAGAGUUCGAGUCAUGAGUCCAAUGCAGCCAAGAUGACGUUCCUUUGGUUGCAGGUAUUCCGAUCGUAGUUGAUGGUGUUGUAAAAGUGUAUUUGGGAUAUUAUGACUGAAGCUCGCCGCGACGGUCAUAAUUAUGGGACUUUGGGUGUCCUUUAUUUUAUAGGUUUGGUAUAUGUCUUAUGACGCUUGUGUCACAUAAUAUUUGUAAAGCCAUUCUUCGAUGCAAUUAUUAUUUGGAUAAGCCUUAAGCAAAUAGACAUUAUGGCUCUUUUUGUGUAAAUAUCAGUUUAUGUUUAUAGAUGUGACUUCUGCUGUUCAAAUUA
Long non-coding RNA from Alnus glutinosa, 619 nucleotides. RefSeq lists it as uncharacterized. NCBI's taxonomy places the organism in Eukaryota, Viridiplantae, Streptophyta, Magnoliopsida, Fagales, Betulaceae. The record is from RefSeq and is a predicted model, not a curated record. The transcript is spliced from 3 exons.